This is a long non-coding RNA of Harmonia axyridis, 580 nucleotides long. RefSeq lists it as uncharacterized. The record is from RefSeq and is a predicted model, not a curated record. The transcript has 2 exons. NCBI's taxonomy places the organism in Eukaryota, Metazoa, Arthropoda, Insecta, Coleoptera, Coccinellidae.
UUAGCUCUCGGUUUUUUGUCUCCCUCCGCUUCGAGUCGGGAGACAACAACAUAACCUCGAGCUAAAAUCUAAUACUUUUUUCCCUUGUAUAAUAAAUAACUAUUUCAUAAGUGAAAAUUUGUUUGUGAAUAUAAUAUGCAAUUAUCGAUUUGUGACGUGUUUGUAUUUGACAGAUUUUUUCAGAUUAGGAAGAUCAUGAAUAAUCAUAUUGAAUUGGAAAUGGUAUUUGAAGAAUACAGGAAGUCUGAAGAAAAUCGAAAACGAAAAGAAAUAGUACAUACAGCCCUUUUGAAUAUAUAUGAAAAAAUCAGAUCAGUAUCCACUACAUGCAAACCCCCAUAUUUUCAGUCAUCAUCGUCAAAGUUUAAAGGAUCUCCCUCUGUAGCAUCAAGUAAACUCAAGUCCUCCAAUACCACAUCAUCUGAAAUAGAAUUUGGUGAUAUGAGAAAUACUUCGUUGAAACGUAGAAUCAGUAUGUAUAAAGAUUAUAAGUAUUGUUUGAAUCAAGAUAGAAUGAAUACAGCAAGAGAACAUUUCUUGAAAAUGUUAUAAUAAAAAAAAUAAAUUUGAUUUAUUCAGA